This 424-nucleotide ribosomal RNA is filed under the name uncultured bacterium. Its description in RNAcentral is "bacterial SSU rRNA". It matches the Rfam family "Bacterial small subunit ribosomal RNA", at positions 358 to 773 of the family's 1533-position model. The record is from RNAcentral.
GGAAUUGUUCGCAAUGGGCGCAAGCCUGACGACGCAACGCCGCGUGGAGGAUGAAGAUCUUCGGGUCGUAAACUCCUGUCGAGCGGGAAGAAUUGCUUCGGGGUGAAUACCUCCGAGGCUUGACGGUACCGCCAAAGGAAGCCCCGGCCAACUCCGUGCCAGCAGCCGCGGUAAUACGGGGGGGGCAAGCGUUGUUCGGAAUUACUGGGCGUAAAGGGCUCGUAGGCGGCCAACUAAGUCGGACGUGAAAUCCCCAGGCUCAACCUGGGAACUGCGUCCGAUACUGGAUGGCUUGAAUUCGGGAGAGGGAUGCAGAAUUCCAGGUGUAGCGGUGAAAUGCGUAGAUAUCUGGAGGAAUACCGGUGGCGAAGGCGGCAUCCUGGACCGACAUUGACGCUGAGGAGCGAAAGCUAGGGGAGCAAAC